GUGGGGAAUCUUCCGCAAUGGACGAAAGUCUGACGGAGCAACGCCGCGUGAGUGAAGAAGGUUUUCGGAUCGUAAAGCUCUUUCGUUAGGGACGAACGUGCUCUUUGUGAAUAAUGAGGAGUAAUGACGGUACCUAAAUAAGAAGCCACGGCUAACUACGUGCCAGCAGCCGCGGUAAUACGUAGGUGGCAAGCGUUGUCCGGAAUUAUUGGGCGUAAAGAGCGCGCAGGCGGGAUAUCAAGUCUGUCUUAAAAGUGCGAGGCUCAACCUCGUGAGGGGACAGAAACUGGUAUUCUUGAGUGUCGGAGAGGAAAGUGGAAUUCCAAGUGUAGCGGUGAAAUGCGUAGAGAUUUGGAAGAACACCAGUGGCGAAGGCGACUUUCUGGACGAUGUCUGACGCUGAGGCGCGAAAGCUAGGGGAGCGAACGGGAUUAGAAACCCGUGUAGUCC
This 450-nucleotide ribosomal RNA is filed under the name uncultured bacterium. RNAcentral's name for it is "partial 16S ribosomal RNA". It matches the Rfam family "Bacterial small subunit ribosomal RNA", at positions 354 to 796 of the family's 1533-position model. The record is from RNAcentral.